UGGAGUUGCUUGCACUGUGAAACUGUGAAAUAUCCGGCGAGAGGGGGUCGCCAAGAUCAUUAUGGGAGAGGCCAAAGUUUUGGAGAUGAGGGGGCCAGCAUAAACCAGGGGGCAAGCUCCCUGUCGAAUUGUUAUCAUAGAGAAUGAGGCUAUGGAGGGAGGAAGCAUUGAAAUGAUCUCCAUCUGGUGUUGGUGAGCACGAGAAUGGAAUGAGGAGCAGCAGAGACAAAAAGGAACAGAGAAAGAUGGAAAGCCCCAUUUUCUCUCUCUAAAAGAGGAGGAAUUUG
Molecule: long non-coding RNA, 287 nt
Filed under: Amborella trichopoda
Lineage: Eukaryota; Viridiplantae; Streptophyta; Magnoliopsida; Amborellales; Amborellaceae
Description: long non-coding RNA (ATRI_LNC000318)
Source: RNAcentral